Molecule: long non-coding RNA, 6173 nt
Filed under: Sus scrofa (pig)
Lineage: Eukaryota; Metazoa; Chordata; Mammalia; Artiodactyla; Suidae
Description: lncRNA (ENSSSCG00000059315.1)
Source: RNAcentral
UUUUUUUUUUUUUUGGGUUUUUUGUUUGUUUAUUCUCAAUCAUGGAUCAUAUCUGUCAUGAAUGUCAUUUUCAUCUUCCUAGUUAUCUUCUACUGUUUUUUAACAAUUGGGAUUUUUUUAAGUAAGGGGCUCAUUCAAAUUUCUUGUCAAUUUUUCUUUUGCAUUUUCUAUGAUUUUAAUUUGGAGCAUUUAUUUAGAAAUCAUAUACUUAAAUCCUUUGUGCUGAAAUUUUUCACUCUGAAUAACUUAUUUGGAUAAAGAUUAAUUCUUAAAAAAAUUAAAGAGAAUUGCAUUACUUAAUAUUCUCAGCAUAAGGCUGAUCAAUUUCAUCCCAUGAGCACCCCCUCAUUGCCCAAGUUCAGCAGGAAGUAGCCAGAAAGAUUAUCACCCCUUUUCCCACAAGCCUGGGGAAUGGACAUUGACAGUGGAGAGUUGUAAGCAAGUGACCAUUAGUGGUCCUGUUCAGCCAUUGGUCAGCAUUGCUGUGAGCCCUCCCCACAAGUGAGUGACAGUUAGUGAGUGACCAUUGACCCCUCCCCUUUCUCUGUAUGAAAGAAGCCUGAAUUCGGACUGAAGAAAGAUGGGUUUUUUUGAGACACUAGUCUGCUAUCUUCUUGGUCUGCUAGCUUUCCAAUUAAAGUCAUUACUCCCUGACCCAAUAACUUGUCUCUGAAUUUAUUGGCCUGUCGUGCAGUGAGCAGAGGGAACUUGGGUUCAGUAUCAAACAGCACAAAGGUUAAAGUAAGGUAAAAAGAACAGAUCUAGUAUGGAGUCAGAUUUGUUCUUCCCUGUUACAUAAGGACGAACACAUGGGUGACUGUACUUACUCUUUUCUGGUACGUCCAGAUAUUUAAAACCACUACACAAGCCCACACAUGGCCUUGAACAAUUCAUUGCACUUUUGUUGGUUUCUCCUUUUCUUUUUCCAUAGCUCACUUCUCUUUUUCCUGUGCUCUGUCAAAGAUGAAAUGGUGUAUAUAUCUCAUCUCUUCUUGAGAGGGCUUGUCCCUCUUUGGAAUUCAGGUCAUUUGGUUGUCUUGCUACUUGAGUUUUCAGAUGUACUCAAGAAAGCUAGGCUUUUGUAGAUAACCUGGCUUUUUUCUCCUUGUGAGAGUAAGAGUGUGUUUUUUACAGCUCGUUAUCUUUUCUGUAAAAACAGAAAUCUUUAAGGACUUUUAAAAAUAUGACUUGAUUAAGGCAUAAAGGUAUUUACAUAUCAUAUAAUUCCCUCAUCUCAAGUGUACAGUUGAACCCUCCUUCCAAAUGCACACACGCAGCCACCACCCCACCUUAAUUGCUAUAACUGAGAGGCGUGUCAUAUCCCUCAAGAGUGUUAGAACAUGGAAAAUGGUUAUUAAAUAUUAGCCAAGAGGCAGCAGACUAUUCCAGAGACUGUUGUGUACAGUCAAAAAAUAUCCCUGGACUUGUCCGUCCCUUGCUUCCUCCUAGCCGCUUCCCUGUCUCCAGAUCUCCUCCAUUUCAACCUGUUUUGUGUUUCACGGCUGUGUGCAGGCAUCACCAUGAAUCAGGUUUAGAACCUGUGCAUCACCCCAAGAUGAUCCUUCAUGCUGAUUUACUCUUAAUCUCCAUUCUCAUCUCAUCUUCAUCCCAACCCCAAGCAACCACUGAUCUAGUUUCUGUCUCUACGGCCUUGCCUUUUCUGGACAUUUCAAAUUUCAUAUUGCAAAUGGAAUCCUGAAAUAUGAGCUCUCUUGUGCCUGAGUCUUUCAUUGAUAUAAUAGCUUUGAGGUUCAUCCAGAUCCUGGCGUGUGUUAGUAGUUCAUUCCUUUUUAUUGCUGAAUUCUAUUUCAUUGCAUAGCCAUACUUCAUUUUGUCUAUACCAUAUUCACCAUUUAAAAGACAUCUAGGCUGUCUCCAAUUUGGAAGCCAUUAUGAAAAAUGCCGCUAUGAAUAUUUAUGUGCAAAUCUCUGUAUAGUUCAUUGAAUUUUCAGCCAUACCUCUUCGUUUUAUUAUUAGUGGUUGCUAGUUUACCAUAGCAAACUAUGAUCUAUAGGUCAAAAAAUUGUUCACAGCUUGUUUUCUGAAAGAAAAUAUUUAUUGAAACACAGCCCGUCAUAUGUUUACAUGUGACGGGAUGUGUUCCAAUAAACAAGUUUAUUCCAAUAAACAUGUUUACAUAUGGUCAUUUUCACAUUGCAUUAUAACAGCAGAGUUGAAUACUUGUGACAGACACACUCUGGCCUACAAAGCCUUAAAUAUUUAUUAUAUGGCUCUUUGUAGAAAAAAAAUUAUUCAUCCCUACUCUAGAGUUUAUAAUGUGCAUCUUUAACUUAUGAUAGCUUAUUUUCAAAUAAUAUACUACUCCAAAAUUAAUGUAAGAAUCAUACAAAAAUAUAAUUCUGCUUACUCCCUGCUACCCUUUGUUCUCUUAUUAUCAUAUAGUUUUAUUGCUAUUUCUGCUGCAAAUGCUGCAGUGUUUAAUAUAUAUGCAUCCUAUAGGUUAUCUUUCUCUGGAGACUCCUGACUAAUACACUUUGGAUGUUACGUGUCUUUUUCUGGCACAGCUUAUAAGAUUUCCAUCUUUGUUUCUCAAGAGUUUGAUUAUCAUAUGUCUAGUUGAGGAAGUCUUUGUUUUAUUGCUCUAGAGGUCCAUUGAGCUUCUUAUAUUUGUGAGUUGAUAUCUUUUAUCAUUUGGGGAAAGUUGUAAGUCAUUAUCUCUUCAGAUAAAUCUACUGCUUGAUUGCCUCUCUCUUAUCCUUUUAGGUCUCUAAUUACUUAUAUAUUGGCCAGUUGCUAUUGCUCCAUAUAUCUUAGAUAUUGUUUUUUUGCCUGCUAAAUUCUUUUGGUCCUUCAUUUAGUACAAUUGCUAUUGGCCUGUCUUCAAGUUUGCUCUUCCUUUCUUCUGAGUCCAGUCUGCCAUAAUUCAAAUAAAUUUUUUAGUUCUGCAUUUUUUUCCACUUUUAACAUUUUCUUCUAUAGGUUCCAUCAAAAUAACUGUUUGGGUCUUUUCAAUAAUUUUGAUCCUUUAAAAUUUUCUCAUCUAUUUACAUCGUCCAAUUUUGCCACAAGAUUCUUUAAUAUAUUUGCCACAGUUAUGUUAAAGUCUCUGUCUAAUAAUUCCAACAAUAGUACCAUCUUUAAGUCUUCCUUAUGUGACUUGUAAUUUUUGGCUCUGUGUCAGACAUUGUAUAUAAACAAACAGUAUGUAUUGAGAAAACAUUUAUCCCACCUCCCUCAAAAGGGCAUGCUCUUCUUAUUGGAAUGCAGAACUGGUCAAUUUAACCACCAUCUGAGAUGUAUCUGGGCUUUGUUACAGUUUUAACUUAAUUCAGUUCAUCACUGGCUUUAAAAAUUUUGAAGACAGGAAAAAGAAUGUAUAUAUGUGUAUGACUUCAUAACUUUGCUGUACAUCAGAAAUUGACAGAACACUGUAAAUCAACCAUAAUUAAAAAUGCUUAAAAAAAUAAAAAGCUUAAGAGACUAGCCACCAGCCCUCCAAUUCAUGAUAAUAGCUUCUUUGUGUCUCUGGGGAUUUUUAUUUGCUCUCCAAUCCCACUUCCAGAUUAUUGCACCUCAGUAGAUUGCUCUACAUCCAGCUUCCUUGCAUCUAACCUUUGGAGAAUGCUGUUGUGUACUAGACGAAUGCACCCUGAGGUGUUUUGGAGGGAUUUCUCUUAAUUCUCCCCCAUUUUCUCCUCUUUGGCAGGCCACUGCAAUAGACUUGGUGAAAGCUUGCAUUGUUUCAAAGUCACAUGACACAGCUCUCCUACCCUGUCCCCAGCUUCAGCAAGCCAUUGCCUUUCACGUGUGAAGGCCGUGGGUGCUUUUCUCAAGAGGAUUCUCUUAGCCUUGCUCUCAAACCUCAAGUGUUACGUAAGUACAUGUGGUAAGAGCAGAUAUCUUUGACUUGCUCCUUAUUUAGAAUGCAUUCUGUCUUGCGUCAUUAAGUGUGACAUUAAUAUUUAGUACUGAUGACAACAAAAUUAUUACGUCAGAAUUUGUAACAUACAUCUGAGGGAACUUAGAAGGAAAUUUACUUUGAAAACUUUUAUUAAAACAUGAAAGUUUUAAUUAGAUAACUCUUGAACUUCAGAAACCAGAAGAGACAGUCCCAACAAACAAGUCAGCAAGAGUCCAAAUACUGGAGAACCAAGAAUCAAUAAGGAGUGUACGGUUUUAUUCCGAUACCGUAUACAUGUCAUUUAUCCACAUAACACCAACCUGUUGUCCAACACAUCAGUUCAAUUCUCUCCCUAAUGAUCCAGAGUUAGCACAAACCCCACAGGUUAAAGGUUCAGUCCAACAAGACAGCCCCAUAUCACACUCUAGUCAAAAGUCUUGGGAGGCCGGCCACCUGUACUUCUGACCGACCAGCUAUAAAUGGUGGGUCCCACACCCCCUUCCUCAGGUUUUAUUAUUUAUUAGAAUGACUCACAGAACUCAAGAAAACACUUUAUCUAGUAUUGCCUGUUUAUUAUAAAGGACACGACUAAGGAAGAGCCAAAUGAUAGAGAUGCACAGGACGCAGUGUCUGGGGGGUAGUGGUGCGGAUCUUCCACAUCCAAUCUGGGUGCACCAUCCUCUUAGCACAUCAAUGUGUUCAGCCAACCCAGAAAGUCUCCAAAUCGUGUUGUUCAAGAGUCUUUAUAUCUCAAACUCUAGCCACUCUUGCCUUCCCCAGGGUUGGGAGAUAGGUCUAAAAGUUUCCCAUCUCCCCUUUAAUCUCAUGUUUGGUGUUUCUGGUGAUCAGCCUCAGCCUGAGGCUAUUUAAGGGCCCUCACAGAGUCACCUCAUUAGCAUAAACUCAGCUGUGGUCUAAAUUAGGGGCUAGUUAUGAAUAACAUAAAAAUACUCCUAUCACUCAAAAAAAAUUAGUUUUAGGAGCUCUGUGUCGAGAACCAGGAACAAAAUCCAAAUGUAUUUUUUAUUAUACCACAACGAUUAUUAAUACAACUAAAAUCUAGUCUUUGAAAAAACUGAAAAAAAAAAAACUCUUAAAUCCCGAGAGAGUCUUAAUGAACAAAAUAGAGAAUGAGAAUUAAUGUAUAUACUCCAGAAGCUGAGAGGGUGUUAUAAGACUGAUUAACAAAUUUGUAGACUAAAAGAAAAUAAACAUUUCUGGAAAAAUAGAAAAUGCCAAGUUAGCCUAGAGAGAAAAAGAAGCUCAAAAAGAGCAGUCAGCAUUAAGGAAAUUGAAACAGUAAUUAAAGACUUUCUUCUCCUUUAAAUAAGCACUGGAUUUAGAUGGUUUUACAAGUGACAGUGGUUGAACUUUUAUGGACAAGAUCAUUCAGUCUUACAAGGUUUUCCCAGGAAAUGAAGAGAAAGCCUGCAAUUCAUUCUGUGAAACCUUAUGUAUGCCAAAGCGGAUAAAGACAACACAAUAAAAGAAAAUGACAGACUCAUUUAAUUUAGUAAUAUAGAUAUGAAAAUCCUACGUGGCACAUUAGUUACCCAAACCUAACUGUGCGUAAGGUAAAUAAAAUACCUGUGUUAGCAAUCAAUGGCCAUUCAGGUUAUGAGACUCCAACUAAAUUAAGGGUUUUAUUUAAUAUCACUGCUUCAACUUAUGUGGUCUCCUGUUUGUUUUACAAGGGUCAUUUUCUUUUUUUAAAAAAAUUUUAUUGAAGUAUAGUUGAUAUACAAUGUUGUGUUAAUUUACAAGGGCUAUUUUUUAUUUCAGACACCUGACCAGGUGUACCCCCAUGAAGCGAGAGCCAUCAUGGAAUCACCUUUGCAGGUGUGCUGUUGCUGCCUCUUCUUUCAGGGUCCAUGUACUGUUUGACAGCACUCAUAAUCUCAGAUCUGAUGCCCAUUAUUUAUGAACUUUCGCAGUGACUGUGGUAUAUACAAAUUUGCCUUAUUUCCAUCAAGUUCUUUUGCCCCAUUUUUUCUUCCUGGAUUUUUUUUUCUUUUUCCCUUAAAGACUGACUCACACAAAUGCUGAGAAUCAUAUCUAAUGCAUCUUUGUGAGCAUAGUCUUAAGGGUAAGAUACGUCAUUGCUUAAAAAAAAAAAAAAAUGCCUUCGGAGUUACAGUGGGGGCUCAAGGGUUAACAAACCCAGCUAGCAUCAGUGAGGACAUGGGUUCAAUCCCUGGCCUUGCUCAGUGGGUUAAGGAUCGGCAUUGCUGUCGCUAUGGUGUAGGCCAGAAGCUACAGCCCUGAUUCAACCCCUAGCCUGGGAACCUCCAUAUGCCAUAGGGUGUGACC